UACGUAGGGUGCAAGCGUUGUCCGGAAUUAUUGGGCGUAAAGAGCUCGUAGGCGGUUUGUCGCGUCUGCUGUGAAAACUCAGGGCUUAACCCUGAGCUUGCAGUGGGUACGGGCAGACUAGAGUGCGGUAGGGGUGACUGGAAUUCCUGGUGUAGCGGUGGAAUGCGCAGAUAUCAGGAGGAACACCGAUGGCGAAGGCAGGUCACUGGGCCGCAACUGACGCUGAGGAGCGAAAGCAUGGGGAGCGAACAGG
This 253-nucleotide ribosomal RNA is filed under the name uncultured bacterium. Its description in RNAcentral is "partial 16S ribosomal RNA". It matches the Rfam family "Bacterial small subunit ribosomal RNA", at positions 524 to 776 of the family's 1533-position model. The record is from RNAcentral.